CAGGUGGACUGUGAAUUAGCAGGAUUUCUUGGCCUUACACACAUAUGGCAGGGACUGGAUGAUAGGGUGGUCCCACCAUCAAUGACGGAAUACAUAGAACGGGUUUUGCCAGAAGCUGCCAUCUAUAAACUUCCAAACGAAGCUCACUUCUCCUAUUUCUAUUUCUGUGAUCAGUGCCACAGGCAGAUCUUCUCCACUCUCUUUGGAACUCCUCAGGGUCCAGUUCAACGACAACUGGAAACUGCAUUCGAGGAAGCUAAGGAAGAAACUGUUUUACCUUCUUAACUUUUUCUAGUGUUACAUUACUCUUAACUGCUGAUAUGCACGUCUUAGGUUGUAUGUAAAUACCACAGGCAGCUCCACAUCUCUAUGGAGCUAGAAAGAAGAAAAUGUUCGUUAUAAAUGCUCGGAAUUUUGAACCAUGAGAGUUUUUGGAGACAUAGGUACACCAAGAAUAUCACACAAUGUUUCUCCUUUCUUUAAGCAAAUUGAAGUAGAAUUUGUCUAA
Molecule: non-coding RNA, 508 nt
Organism: Vigna umbellata (rice bean)
Lineage: Eukaryota; Viridiplantae; Streptophyta; Magnoliopsida; Fabales; Fabaceae
Source: RefSeq, a predicted model, not a curated record